RNAcentral lists this ribosomal RNA (631 nucleotides) under uncultured soil bacterium. RNAcentral's name for it is "bacterial SSU rRNA". It matches the Rfam family "Bacterial small subunit ribosomal RNA", at positions 36 to 676 of the family's 1533-position model. The record is from RNAcentral.
UUGGCGGCGUGGAUUAGGCAUGCAAGUCGGUCGCCCCGCAAGGGGCGGGGCGCAAGGGUGAGUAAGGCGACGGCAACCAACCCCGAGGAUGGGUAUAGCCGCUCGAAAGGGCGGGUAAUCCCCAGCGAAGUUCUUGAGGGGCAUCUCUCGAGAACCAAAGGUGUGAGUCCGCCUCGGGACGGGCCGUCGUGGUAUCAGGUAGUUGGCGGGGUAAUGGCCCACCAAGCCGAGAACGCCUACCGGGCGUGCGAGCGUGGCCCGGCACACUGGGACUGAGACACUGCCCAGACUCUUACGGGAGGCUGCAGUCGAGAAUCUUCGGCAAUGGGCGCAAGCCUGACCGAGCGACGCCGCGUGGAGGAUGAAGGCCUUCGGGUUGUAAACUCCUGUCGAGGGGGAACAAGAUUCGGUGAAGAGCCGAGUUUGAGUGAUCCCUGGAGGAAGCACGGGCUAAGUUCGUGCCAGCAGCCGCGGUAAGACGAACCGUGCGAACGUUAUUCGGAAUCACUGGGCUUAAAGCGCGUGUAGGCGGGCCGGCACGUCGAUGGUUGAAAUCCCCCAGCUCAACUGGGGAACAGGCCUCGAUACGACCGGCCUCGAGGGGGGUAGGGGGAGCCGGAACUUCCGGUGG